GGCCUAUUGAUUUUUUAAUAGGUCUGGCCUGCCCAGUGAUAAUUUUAACGGCCGCGGUAUAUUGACCGUGCAAAGGUAGCAUAAUCAUUAGUCUUUUAAUAGAAGGCUGGAAUGAAAGGUCUAACGAGAAAUUAACUGUCUCAAUUACAAAUUUGAAUUUAUCUUUUAAGUCAAAAGACUUAAAUUUAAUUGGUGGACGAGAAGACCCUAUAGAGCUUAACAAUUUUUUUUAUAUAUUUAUUUAGAUUAAAAUUAUUUAUUUAUAUUUAAGAAUUUGUUUUGUUGGGGUGACAAUAAAUAUAUACUUAACUUUUAUUAUAACGUAAACAUUAAUUUAUGAUUUUUGGAUCCAGAAUUUUUGACCAUUAGAUUAAGUUACC
RNAcentral lists this ribosomal RNA (380 nucleotides) under Pacificagrion lachrymosa. Its description in RNAcentral is "partial large subunit ribosomal RNA". The stretch from base 1 to 183 matches the Rfam family "Archaeal large subunit ribosomal RNA", at positions 1923 to 2143 of the family's 2987-position model. Lineage: Eukaryota; Metazoa; Arthropoda; Insecta; Odonata; Coenagrionidae. The record is from RNAcentral.